UCACCCUCACCAUGGAACCGUACUCUGAUGAGCAUCUAAGAAACACAGAAACUCAGAAAUGAAACCAUGUGGCUCUGGCACUGCUGACAUAGAAUCACUGAUAUUUCAAAUAUCAGACUUCUCAAAAAGAAGGUACAAUGAGGAGUCAGGAGUCUGCAACAUGGAAGAGAGCUCUCACCAGAAUCCGAUCAUGCUGGCACCCUAAUUUCAAAUUUCCAGCCUCCAGAACUGCUCCAAGAAAUGGAAUUUUAUUAAAAGAUGGAAGAGGAGGAUAUUUGAGAGAAGGGGAACUACCUAAUACUGAAAACUAAUACAGUCCAGGAUACAUAGAAGAUGAUCAAUAACACUUAUUCAAUCUAAAUUACCCUAUCAGCAAGUGGAGAAUUCUCUCUCGGGAGUGCUGUUUUCUUUCCUGCCAG
RNAcentral lists this long non-coding RNA (419 nucleotides) under Homo sapiens (human). Its description in RNAcentral is "HSALNT0320887". The record is from RNAcentral. Lineage: Eukaryota; Metazoa; Chordata; Mammalia; Primates; Hominidae.